GAUGAACGCUGGCGGCGUGCCUAAUACAUGCAAGUCGAGCGAACGGACGAGAAGCUUGCUUCUCUGAUGUUAGCGGCGGACGGGUGAGUAACACGUGGAUAACCUACCUAUAAGACUGGGAUAACUUCGGGAAACCGGAGCUAAUACCGGAUGAUAUUUUGAACCGCAUGGUUCAAAAGUGAAAGACGGUCUUGCUGUCACUUAUAGAUGGAUCCGCGCUGCAUUAGCUAGUUGGUAAGGUAACGGCUUACCAAGGCAACGAUGCAUAGCCGACCUGAGAGGGUGAUCGGCCACACUGGAACUGAGACACGGUCCAGACUCCUACGGGAGGCAGCAGUAGGGAAUCUUCCGCAAUGGGCGAAAGCCUGACGGAGCAACGCCGCGUGAGUGAUGAAGGUCUUCGGAUCGUAAAACUCUGUUAUUAGGGAAGAAAAUAUGUGUAAGUAACUGUGCACAUCUUGACGGUACCUAAUCAGAAAGCCACGGCUAACUACGUG
This 497-nucleotide ribosomal RNA is filed under the name uncultured bacterium. Its description in RNAcentral is "partial 16S ribosomal RNA". It matches the Rfam family "Bacterial small subunit ribosomal RNA", at positions 28 to 507 of the family's 1533-position model. The record is from RNAcentral.